RNAcentral lists this ribosomal RNA (447 nucleotides) under uncultured bacterium. Its description in RNAcentral is "partial 16S ribosomal RNA". It matches the Rfam family "Bacterial small subunit ribosomal RNA", at positions 29 to 523 of the family's 1533-position model. The record is from RNAcentral.
AACGAACGCUGGCGGCAGGCCUAACACAUGCAAGUCGAGCGCCCCGCAAGGGGAGCGGCGGACGGGUGAGUAACGCGUGGGAACGUACCUUUUGCUUCGGAAUAGCCUCGGGAAACUGGGAGUAAUACCGAAUGUGCCCUACGGGGGAAAGAUUUAUCGGCAAAAGAUCGGCCCGCGUUGGAUUAGGUAGUUGGUGGGGUAAUGGCCUACCAAGCCGACGAUCCAUAGCUGGUUUGAGAGGAUGAUCAGCCACACUGGGACUGAGACACGGCCCAGACUCCUACGGGAGGCAGCAGUGGGGAAUCUUAGACAAUGGGCGCAAGCCUGAUCUAGCCAUGCCGCGUGAGCGAUGAAGGCCUUAGGGUUGUAAAACUCUUUCGUGGGGGAAGAUAAUGACUGUACCCCAAGAAGAAGCCCCGGCUGACUCCGUGCCAGCCGCCGCGGUAA